This is a long non-coding RNA of Poecile atricapillus (Black-capped chickadee), 589 nucleotides long. RefSeq lists it as uncharacterized. The record is from RefSeq and is a predicted model, not a curated record. Lineage: Eukaryota; Metazoa; Chordata; Aves; Passeriformes; Paridae. The transcript has 5 exons.
CUGCACUGGCUUGCAGGAAUCCCAGGGGCCAGUCCCAUUUUCACUCAGUGCAGUCGGGUUUGCCGACCCCUAGCAGGUCACAGAGGAGGUUGCACAACCAUCCUGCUGUCGUUUGACCCUGAAUGAUUUCCUGUUUCCCCCAUUAGGCUCCAAAUCAGAGCUUGUGUCAUCCACAGGAACUUGGAGGCUUCCAGGAAAAGUGAGCUUUAUCAUCAAGUAGAAGUUACAAGAACUGACCAAUAUCUGAGCAAUACUGUGGUUACUCUACCAAAUGAAUAAGCUAUUCAAGCCUGCCACAAGAGCUGUAAGAGACUGGCCCUAGAUAUCCGUCAGCAUCAGCACCACAGCUUCCUCAGCAGAUGUCCCCAGAAUCAUCACUGGGGUCAUGGCCAAGAAUAAUACUGAGAGGGAGACAGUGCUUGUCCAGCUUAAGGACUUGUUCUCCACCCACUAUUCUGGAAUAGGACCGUCCACACAUGGAGUUAAUCAGGGGAAGUGGGAUAAAUCCUUUGCCUACAACUAACACAGCUACAGCCUGUGCACCUCUUUCCCAGAGAUUGGCUGCAGGAUAGCUCCUCAGAGAAGGCCA